RNA transcript from Alosa alosa (allis shad), 3225 nucleotides. It is a transcript of the gene named E3 ubiquitin-protein ligase TRIM47-like, with no coding region annotated. The transcript is spliced from 7 exons. NCBI's taxonomy places the organism in Eukaryota, Metazoa, Chordata, Actinopteri, Clupeiformes, Clupeidae. The record is from RefSeq and is a predicted model, not a curated record.
AGUCCACAUUAAUUGGUCAUAUCAGCCAUGCAGAAAUACCUGGCAAUCUUUGUCAAUAACAAAUGCGUUUUGGCCAUGGCGACAAAUGUGAUUUGCUCUGCACUAACACACCCCUAAAUGCAACAAGGAAGUCUUUCCCAAGCUGCAGUCGUCUACACCGAAUUCAGAGGAAACGAAACUGAAAGUAAAGAGUGGUUUCAGAGGUUCCUAAAGUGUUUGUCGUGCUCAGGAAGAAUGGCAGAGGCGAUUUCAAUUAACCAGGACCUUUUUAUCUGUCCGAUUUGUUUGGAUCUAUUAAAGGAUCCAGUGACUAUUCUCUGUGGGCACAAUUACUGCACGGGCUGCAUCAAGGGCUGCUGGGAUCAGGAAGAUCAGAAGGGAAUUUACAGCUGCCCACAAUGCAGACAGACGUUUACUCCGAGACCCGUUUUAAACAAAAAUAACGUUUUCGCUGAGCUUGUGGAACAACUAAGGAGGACCAGAAUUCAAGAUACUGCUUCCUCUCAGUGUUUUGCUGGACCUGGAGAUGUGGAGUGUGACAGCUGCACCGGGAGAAAACUAAAAGCUGUCAAGUCCUGCCUGGCGUGUUUGUUGUCGUACUGUGAGACUCAUCUCCAGCGCCAUGAUGAACUCUUCUCAGGGAAAAGACACAAUGUGGUUGAAGUCACAGGUCAGCUACAAGACAAGAUCUGCACUCAACACCAGAGGCUUCUGGAGGUAUUUUGUCGCACAGAUCAGAGGUGUGUCUGUUUGCUAUGUCUGGUAGAUGAACACAAAGGCCAUGACACUGUCUCACCUGCAGCUGAGAGAACGGAGAAACAGAAGGAGAUGGAGGAGACCAAGAGGAAACUCCAGCAGAGACUCCAGGAGAGAGAGAAGCAGCUGCUGGAGCUGAGGAAGGCUGUGGAUACUCUCAAGAGCUCUACAAAGACAGCAGUGGAGGACAGUGAGAGAAUCUUCACUGAGAUGAUCCGCUCCAUUGAGAGAAGGCGCUCUGAGGUGACAGAGCUGAUCAGAGCUCAGGAGAAGGCUGAGGUGAGUCAGGCUGAAGGACUCCUGAAGCGACUGGAGCAGGAGAUUGCUGAGCUGAAGAGGAGAGAUGCUGAGCUGGAGCAGCUUUCACACACAGAGGAUCACAUCCAUUUCCUCAAGAAUGUUGUGUCAGUCACUGGUCCUUGCAGAACAGUUUCAACCAGUAUGACAUUCAGUGAAAGUUUCUCUUUUGAAGCUGUGAAGAAAUCUGUUUCCGCAGUGAAGGUGCAGCUCGAUGGCAUCUUCAAGCAGGGAGCAGCCAAGAUAUCUGCAGCAGUGACACAUAUCCAGAUCAUCCAGUCUUUACAAUAUACUGAUCUUGAACUCCCAGUCAGAAGAACAGACAGUAAGGAGAAUAUGCCACCAUCCAGUAAGUGUUUACUGAUUGAUUCUAACAGCCUUUACAUCUAGGGUCUAGCAAAUGUAUGAUAGUUUCACUGAAUCCAUUUGUCUUUCAAACAUUUUGUCAGCCGCCAAACCUUAGAGGCAUGAGUUAGAGUUAAAAAAAUAAGGCCCUUUAUGUAUUAUGGGUAAAAAUGUUGUAAGACUUUUAUGAAGGGUUUAAGAGAAAAAGCUAAUACACUAGAAUCUAUUGACUAGAUCUUUAGAUUUACCCAUAAAAACAAACAAAGGCAGCAGCUGAUGGAGAUCAGAGUUAGACCCAUUACUUCUGCAGUUGUCUUUUGAGAACUGAUUGAUGUGGGUUAGAACUGAAAGUCCUCUAAACAUGCCUUUAUCCUCCUAAUGAAGAUGAGGGACUCUUGAAAGAGAGCAUCUCCAUAUUUACUUGUCAGUGGGAGGUUGGAGGCCUUUAAGAUUUAAAUACAGUAGCUGAGGACUGAGGACUGAGGAGUAGAUAUUCAUUCAAACAGGAGGAAAGUUCAAAUUGGCAUACAAUGUUGAAAUUUAUGUUAACUGCAGCCUUUUCUCCUUUUCUGUUAUAAGUUAUAAGUUAUUACACAUCGUGUUGUUACAGGUCAUGUCGGUCAUAGCUAACAGUGUGAUGAUUCAUUAGGCAAAGUGACUUACCAAUGCUUACUUGUGUUAUUUGUACCCAGAUAGUUUUGGUAAUUCAGUGUGUAAUAUACCAACUUAAUCGACCCAUUUGCUCUGCAGUUUGUUGAUUUGAAUUGAUUCAAAUGGUUACAUUACAUUAAAAUGAAUAGUCAUUUAGCUGGCACUCUUAUCCAGAGAGACUCACCGUGAACUAACUACAGGAACUACUGAAGCAACUUGGGGUUAGGUGUCCUGCUCAGAGGCACAAUGGUCGCAGCCCCUGGGAUCAAACUCACAACCUUUAGGUGUUCCAUUUGGAAGCCCAGAUCCCAAACCACUAGACCAGCAGCCCCCACAUCUGAAGGUCUUCUGAACCUGCUCUUCCCAUCCUGAUGAAGAUCAGUGAUGCUUCAAUGAGUGCAUCUCCAUCUUCACUUUGGUUCAAGUUUGGUUAGUUCUAAUGCAUUUUUUCUUUCUCAGUGUCUGAUGUCCAGGCUGUUUUUACUGAGCCAGUAACCAGAGAGGAGUUCUUAAAGUACUCCUGUCACUUCACACUGGAUCCAAACACAGCACACAGACACCUCCAUCUGUCUGAGGGCAACAGGAGGGUGGAGAGCAGAGAUGAGCUCCAGUCAUAUCCUGAUCAUCCAGAGAGAUUUGAUGAGUGGUAUCAGGUGCUGUGUAGAGAGGGUGUGUCUGGACGCUGCUACUGGGAGGUGGAGAGGAGUGGGGGGUGGGUUUGUAUAGCAGUCUCAUAUAAAAGCAUCAGCAGGGAAGGACGGGGUAAUGAGUGUGGGUUUGGAUUUAAUGAUCAGUCCUGGAGUCUGGACCUCUUUACCUCCAGCUCCUAUUUCUAGCACAAUAAUAAAGAGACUAAACUCCCUCUAGUGGCCAGCUCCAGAAUAGGAGUGUAUGUGGAUCACAGGGCAGGAACUCUGGCCUUCUACAGCAUCUCUGACACAAUGACCCUCCUGCACAGAGUCCAGGCCACAUUCACUCACACACUCUACCCUGGGUUUAGAUGUUACCAUACUGGAUCAUCAGUGAAGCUGUUGUGAUCCCAGACCAUGUAGGCCCAAUCCCCCACACUCUACCCUGGGUUUUAUAUAGUAUGUACUAGAUCAGUGAAGCUGUUGUGAUUCACACCAUAUACAGCAGGACAGGAAUGUAAAGACCCCAGACACAUAUAGAUAGAUG